Molecule: ribosomal RNA, 2526 nt
Filed under: Triticum aestivum (bread wheat)
Lineage: Eukaryota; Viridiplantae; Streptophyta; Magnoliopsida; Poales; Poaceae
Description: partial small subunit ribosomal RNA
Source: RNAcentral
AUGGCUCCCACGGCGCCUUCGCCGGCGAAGUCCGCCUCCCCGUCCCAACCAUCCGGCAAGAGCGAGGUGUCGGAUCUGAAGCAGCAGCUGCGGCAGCUGGCGGGGAGCCGUGCGCCAGACGCUGAUGAUCAGCGCCGGGAUGUCUUCAAGCGGGUGAUCUCUUGCAUGACCGCAGGUAUCGACGUGUCGGCGGCGUUCGGGGAGAUGGUGCUCUGCUCCGCCACCUCCGACGUUGUGCUCAAGAAGAUGUGCUACCUCUACGUCGGUGUCCAUGCGCGCGCCCACCCGGACCUUGCCCUCCUCACCAUCAACUUCCUCCAGCGCGACUGCCGCGACCAGGACCCAACCAUCCGCGGCCUUGCGCUCCGCAGCCUCUGCUCCCUCCGCGUUCCAAACCUUGUCGAGUACCUUGUUACGCCGCUCACCACAGGGCUGAAGGACCCUAGUGCCUACGUUCGGAUGGUCGCUGCUGUUGGUGCUGCAAAGCUGUAUCACAUAUCUGCUACCACCUGCCUCGACGCUGACCUGCCUGCUGCGCUCAAGGCACUUAUGCUCUCGGACCCUGAUGCCCAGGUGGUUGCCAAUUGCUUGCAUUCACUGCUUGAGAUAUGGACCCUAGAAGCUGCCAAUUCAGAGGCAGCAGGGAGGGAGAUUGAGACACUAUAUAGCAAGCCAGUGGUGUUUUACUUGCUAAACAAAAUCAAAGAAUUCAGCGAGUGGGCACAGUGCCAUGUUCUUGAGUUGGCGUCAAAGUUCAUACCAUCUGAUAAUAAUGAAAUAUUUGACAUAAUGAACCUGCUUGAGGAUAGACUUCAGCAUGCAAAUGGAGCUGUUGUUUUGGCAACAAUCAAAGUGUUUCUCCACUUGACGAUGUCAAUGACCGAUGUUCACCAGCAGGUUUAUGAACGCAUAAAGGCACCUUUGCUUACUCUGGUAGGUGCUGGGAGUCCAGAACAAUCAUAUUCAGUGCUAUGUCAUCUGCAUCUUUUGGUGAUGCGUGCUCCCAUGUUAUUUUCUUCCGACUACAAAAGUUUCUACUGCCAGUUUAGUGAUCCUUCGUAUGUGAAGAAGCUGAAACUUGAGAUGUUGACUGCUAUAGCAAAUGAGAGCAACACCUAUGAAAUUGUAACCGAGCUGUGUGAAUACGCUGGAAAUGUUGAUGUACCAAUUGCAAGAGAGUCUAUCAGAGCAGUUGGAAAAAUAGCUCUGCAGCAAUAUGAUGUGAAUGCUAUCGUUGACAGGCUUCUACAAUUUCUUGAAAUGGACAAGGAUUAUGUGACUGCUGAGACUCUUGUCUUGGUGAAAGAUCUUUUGAGGAAAUAUCCUCAAUGGAGCCAUGAUUGUAUAGCUGUUGUUGGAAAUAUUAGUAGCCAAAAUAUUCAAGAGCCAAAAGGGAAAGCAGCUCUCAUAUGGAUGUUGGGUGAAUAUUCUCAAGAUAUGCAUGAUGCUCCAUAUGUUCUUGAAAAUCUUGUUGAUAACUGGGACGAGGAGCAGUCUCCCGAGGUUCGUUUGCAUCUUCUGACUGCGGUGAUGAAAUGUUUCUUUAAGAGACCACCCGAGACACAGAAGGCAUUAGGGGCUACAUUAGCUGCUGGUCUAGCUGAUACACACCAGGAUGUUCAUGACCGAGCACUUUUCUACUACAGGCUUUUACAAUAUGAUCCAGCUGUAGCUGAACGUGUAGUAAACCCUCCCAAGCAAGCUGUCUCUGUAUUUGCAGACACACAGAGCAGUGAAAUCAAAGAUCGGAUAUUUGAUGAAUUUAACAGCCUAUCAGUUGUAUAUCAGAAGCCCUCUUACAUGUUUACCGACAAGGAACAUCGUGGAACAUUCGAGUACUCAGAAGAUCUUGCGAACUUAACUGUUGGGGCAGAUGCUCCAGAAACCGUCAUUUCUGCCCAAAGAUACCAAGAAAACGAUAAUGAUCUUCUGCUAAGUACUUCAGAUAAAGAGGACAACGGUAUAAGAAGCAGCAAUGGUUCUUACACCUCUACAUACAAUGCUCCUUCCGAUUUGCUAAGUUCGCAAACACCAGCUGAAACUGCACUAAUAAAUCCUAGUAGUUCGACAUAUUCAACACAAACAAACUUCAGUCUCGAUGAUCUUCUUGGACUUGGUGUUCCUGAUGCCUCAGCACCUCCACCACCUCCUGCACUGGCCCUCAACUCAAAGCCUGUGCUAGAUCCUGCGACUUUCCAGAAGAAAUGGGGCCAACUGGCAUUAUCCUUUUCUCAGGAAUGCUCUUUAAGUCUACAAGGAGCAGCUUCUUUGAUGAAUCCCCAAUCGCUCAUUCGUCAUAUGCAAAGCAACUACAUUCAAUGCAUUGCUUCAGGCGGUCAGCCUCCAAACUACAAGUUCUACUUUUAUGGUCAGAAAGCUGGGGCUGCUGCUUUCUACCUUGUAGAAUGCAUUGUUAACACAGCAUCAGCGAAGGCCCAGCUCAAAAUCAAGGCCGAGGAUGGGACUACUGCUGAGGCAUUUUCUACCUUGUUUCAAUCAGUAUUGUCUCAAUUUGGGCAUUCUUGA